GCGAAGGCGGCGGAAUUGGUAGACGCGCUAGCUUCAGGUGUUAGUGUUCUUACGGACGUGGGGGUUCAAGUCCCCCCCCUCGCACCA
This 87-nucleotide transfer RNA is filed under the name Escherichia coli. Its description in RNAcentral is "tRNA-Leu". It matches the Rfam family "tRNA". From Rfam's summary of the family: Transfer RNA (tRNA) molecules are approximately 80 nucleotides in length. The record is from RNAcentral. Lineage: Bacteria; Pseudomonadati; Pseudomonadota; Gammaproteobacteria; Enterobacterales; Enterobacteriaceae. RNAcentral also lists the same sequence under 1 other name.